UCUAAUGGAUUACUUCAUAGUCACAAUCUAUGACAGUAUCUUAUCUAACCUUCUUCCCACCCGCCACCAGCAAGUAUGUGGGGACAGACCUGGACAGACACACACACGGGCAUGGCGGCCUCAUCCUACAGGAUUAGUCCCAUAGUAGCAAGUCAGGCCCCAGGGGCAGUGGAGUAGGACAGAGUGGUGCCAUCGGGAGGUGGUGAUGUCACCAGGCAGCAGGUGUCUUGUCUCUGGAUAAGCCCAUGUUGGGACAGACUGUUUCUUCCAGAACGUACCCAAUGUGGGCACUGGCUUACGUUUAGGAGCAACAACUUCUACAAGAUGCCCAGUUACAUGAGAGCGACAUCCAGUGAGAUGUUCACAUAAAGCAUGGCACACACAGCGCCAGGAAAGCAGCCCGCCUUCUAGAGUGGCAGGGGCAGCACGUGCUUCCUGAGUUUAACGGUGGCCCACAGCCCAUCUCAGGACCCAGCACCAGCCCCAACCGUUACGUGGUGCUUGAAUGGCACUCAGAACGCACACUCAGCAUCCAGCGACUCCGGACCCCAAGCUGACCGUUCUCCUUCCUGCCUCAGUAUCUCAGCCCCCUUCAUCUGUACUGUCCAAAGCCUGCUCAAGUGUCAGAAGCUGUCUCCUUCGUCAGAACCAUCCUGUGUGCUUUCUAAGUGAGCAUCUUUAACCUCUAAUGCUGGGCUGAAAAACAACUCAGUGUUUUGGAAAGUAAGCAAUCUGAGGGUGGGGACAUCCACAGGAACCCUGGGGCCCACAAGGAAAACAGAAGACAGACUUAAUCACUGAAUUCUCACUCAAGAAUUCCAGCGGCCAAAUGUCCUUUCUAAUCCCGUGUGCUGCUCUGAGAGAACAUUCUAGCCACUCCUUUGUGUGUGUGAAAACCACUGCAGCAGGUCCUAUUUUGGGCAGAUUUUCCACAUUAAAAGGCACAAUGGUUAAAAUGAUCGUACGAUACACCUCCCACCCACGACACUUUGUUUAAUUCAAACUCAAAUACCAAAGCAGGAGAGUCGACUGUUUACCACACUUGAAUUUAUAAAUGGCCUUCCUGCCCGUCACCCAGGCUGCCCCACCCCCUCCCUUCUUUCGACACAGCUGGGUGGGAAUGCAGUGACCUAAUAUCACUGGACAGAUAAUUCCUUGCCUUGGGGAACGACUGGCAAAGCCCACGGCAUCUGCCAUUUCCAAUCUACUCCUCGGAACAGUAAGUAGGGGCUUGUGCCAGGACGCUCGGGGGGCAGCACAGAAUGCGUGCAACCGUGGCUGGAAGUGAAAAUGUAAAAACCCACCCACGGCCUCGCUGGGAGUCACUGCUCUGCAUUGGAAAACCCGGGUGUUUGAUUCAACUAAAUCAUCUCAAAGCCUGCAUUGGAGAAAAUAAUUGAAUUAAAGAGUUGCUAUAACUCAUUCAAGUGAGAUAAAAACCAUCCAGUGGGAGGCGAGACGGCAAGGCAAAGACACUGCUGCUAGAAUGUGCCGUCUUCUCGAGAUCGCAAGGAGAAAAGCAAUAUAAUGUGGUUCAAAGGACAGAUGGGACUUUCCUAAUUGUCCCCAGAUUCCUAGCAGCAGGGGUGGUAACUAAAUGGUUUCAAUUAAAAGUUAAAGAAACAGAGGAGAGCAGGCGGUAAGUUAUGCCUGGUGCUGAUAAGCCUCAUUCGGAUCAGUCUCAGGGAUGCUUUGUCCCGAUUUCAGACAGCCAAGUGUCAAUGGCACACAAGUGGUGGAGCCAUCCCAACAUGUCACCCUGACAAGGUGACAAAUAAAUCUGUCUGUCAAAUGCACUGUCAUGAACACCCGUGUGAGCGUCAUGGAGCCAAGCACCAGGCAUGUGGCGACGGCUCAGAGCAGGGCCCUUCCAUCUGCAAUCAAGGAGAAAAAGGGACGGACGCAAACACUAGAACACAGCCCAAGGAAGCAAUGAUGAUGUGGGGGUUACACACCUCAGAGAGGACGCUCCACCUCUGACGACGGCUACAGGGUGGUUUCCGUGCCAAGCACGGUGUGGCUCAAGCACAAUGUGACAAGGGCCAUGGAAUCAAUGUCUACCCCUUCACCAGGGGCUCCCAAGCAGGGCAUGUUUUUCACCCUAGGGACACUGGGCCCUAUCUGGCGACAUCUCUGGUCACGCUGGGGUAGGGAGGGAGGUAACACUGGCAUCGGGUGGGGAGAGGCCAGGGAUGCUGUUGAACAUCCUAUGAUGCACAGGACAGCCCCCCACAACGUCAACCAAAAUGUCAACAGUGCCAAAGUAGAAACUCCUGCCUUAAAGGAAUCAUAAGUUGAAGUCUCUGAAGUUCCAAACUAGAAAUGCUGAGAAAUGGCUGGGGCUGAUUACAGGCAUUUUUUUUUUUUUUUAACCAACACAGAACAUAAGCAAUAUCCUGAAAGGGACAAGUAAGUGCAUCAAAAAAGCAGAAUAGACGACAAGCAUGAGGGUGAGCUCCAGCCUCUGAAGAAGCGUAGAGGAAGCAAGUGCGGCAGGGCUGGGUGGCGCUGUCCUGCGGAUGCUGAUUCAGAAGAAGCUGACCCACAGCCGAAUGUGGCUGAGGUGGAGCUGAGAACAUGAGGUCCCCUGGGGAUGACCGCAGCCCCAUCUUUCAGGGUUAAAGAGAAAGAAGACACUGAACUCUGUUGAACCUACCCCAUGGGGAAAAAAAAGUCUCAAAGUUACGAAAAGUGAAAAAGAAAAAAAAGAUGCAAAAUAAUAUAGUGAUAAAAUCUCUGCAUGAUUUGAGACUAUCGCCUCAUGCAUCUAACGCUGACUCAUCAAUACUUCCUACUUCCCAGCUCAGAAGUGGAACAACAUCGCUACUCGACUGAACGGAUGGCUAACGACAACCAAGUAAACCCCCUCCCUGCCAAAACAGUUACUGGACGCUAGAAUGCAGGUUACAGCACGUGGUCAUUUACAGAACUAAAAGGUAUGAAACUCUCUGCUGAGUCAGGUUACCUAGACACAGCUCUAACACAUUCUCUCACCUGAGAUUAUCAUAUACAUUAAGGUUUUUUAAAAAAAAAAGCAAGCUGGCCCAGGUAAGAAAUACAAAAGUCUAUGCGGCAUGAAAUAGCUCAAAGAGACUUGUUUGGUGGAAUUAACUAGUGGUUUAAUGGGGGGGGGGGGGGUGAUGUCUGAUAUGCAAGAGUGCCCCAAUUUCUUCAGAGAAAUUAACAUUUCAAUCCUGUUUUUAUCUAGAAGUCAUUAAACUGUGCAACAUGAAUUACUGGAACUGUAGCAGCGAAUUAACUCUAUUCAUCAACUAAGUCCAAACAUUUUAGAGUGUAUCUGUAAUGAAAAAACAGCUCUACAUUUCUAUCUCUUCUCAUUAAAGUAAACCAGUUUUCCCUCUCUCAGUAUAUAAAACUGUCUUCUCUUCACGUAAUUUAUAUUACCAUAAGCCGGCUCACAUUCUAAACUAUUACAUGCCUCCAAUUAAUUUUUGCAGCUUUUGCCUGAAAAUUUAAUGAGAUAGUAGUGGAUGAACCUGCUGACUCCAGAUUAUGUGUGUGCUCCCAAUAUUAAUGUUGGCACAAUAAAAUAAUCUGAUCCAUACCUGACUCAAGCAUUUCCCCUGGCUGGGGUAUAAAGGGAACAGUUACGAUGGAUGACUAUUUGUCUAAGGCCUCAGUUCUCUACCGUGGAGGAGAAGUCACAAGCCGCACUCCUCAAAGCCAACCCAAGGAACCCCAUGAUGAGUACAGGGUACAAGGAAGCCCAUUCUCUGUCCCGCUGCUACAGGCGCGCCUUAGGUGCCUGCCUCAGGUGGGGUCCACACCAUUCACGAUUUGUUUGUACACGUGUGCGUAUCAGUGUGUCUGUGUCAGAUGUAUGUGUGCACGUGUGAGCAUGUACAUGUGUGUUCAUCUAACAUGUGCCUGAGUUCAGAUGAAUAGGUGAGGCGCAUUGGCGACUCUAAGUCUCAAUGACAGACCCUCUGUAGUUCUUACUUUUUGCCAAAGGGUUGAGGUGCAAGCAGAAGGCAAAAAAGGCUGACAAGGCUGGGAGCAGUGGCUCGCGCCUGUAAUCCCAGCACAGCACCUUGGGAGGCCAAGGCAGGUGGAUCACUUGAGGUCAGGAGUCUGAGAUCAGCCUGGCCAACAUGGUGAAACCCCAUCUCUACUAAAAGUAGCCAGGCGUGGUGGCGGGCGCCUGUAGUCCCAGCUACUAGGGAGGCUGAGGCAGGAGAACUGCUUGAACCCAGGAGGCGGAGAUUGCAGUGAGCCGAGACCGCGCCACUGCACUCCAGUCUGGGCGACAGAGCGAGACUCCGUCUCAAAAACCAAACAAAAAACUCCGACAAUAUCAGUAACAGCAGCAGCAGUCAGUAAUCAAUAUUCAGAAAGUGCCUGCUAUCCCCGUUUUCUUUUUUGCCAAGCACUGAGACGGUCCCAGCCAUCAGUCCACAGGU
Symphalangus syndactylus (siamang) is the source of this 4421-nucleotide long non-coding RNA. RefSeq lists it as uncharacterized. NCBI's taxonomy places the organism in Eukaryota, Metazoa, Chordata, Mammalia, Primates, Hylobatidae. The record is from RefSeq and is a predicted model, not a curated record.